GGGUUUAUUUUUAGCCCAUUACUGUGAUACUGAAACAAUAAAGUUUUCUAAAUGAAAGAGUUGGAAACGUUUUUUUGUAUUUUUUUUUUAAUCUAGUAAUGUAGCUCCCUUGCCUGUAUCUCUUUGUCACAGUGCUGUCAAAAUGAGUCAGUCAAACACCUAAUUUUUGGUGUGAUCAGUACUCAAAUUCUCUGCAUUGGGCUAGAGCCCAAUCCUGCCUCAUGCUGAGCAUCUCUUUCAAGGCACAGAGGACCCUUUCCUCUCUGGCUCAGUGGGAAUGGAAUUCACUCAGCGCUUAGCAAGACGAGGUCCCUAGUUUUUCUGCAACCACACAAGUUUCCUUCCUGUUGUGCACCUGAUAUGUGACUGACUCAAACUGACAUGCAACUUCCACUAUAUUAAAAAAGAGUGAAGAAACUCUUAGGAAGACAGCUUCUCAGACAGCAGAUAGAAAACUGGGCAGAACAGAGCUUUAAACUCCUCUGAUACAGUAAAUCACUGUUUGCAAAACACCUAAUUUUAAGAGGAUAAUUAAAAGAGAAACCUGUAAAGGCAACAUUCCUUCAAGCGAGUUGGUGCUGCAACGUGCUGGGCCUGAUCCUGAAAUCCAAUUACAACACUGGACCUCAGUUGCUAACACUGCAGUUAUUCAGCUGAAAGAAUGACUUGAAUGGUUUUCUAAAAAAUAAAAUGAGGUCUGCGGAUUUAAAGAUCUAAAGGCGUUAGCCAAAUUGAACAGGUAAGAAUCAAAUUUUAUCUAGGAUUUAAGAUUCACUGUUUUCAUAAGUCAUCUCUUUUUCUACUUUUUA
RNAcentral lists this long non-coding RNA (809 nucleotides) under Chrysemys picta bellii (western painted turtle). Its description in RNAcentral is "lncRNA (ENSCPBG00000027847.1)". Lineage: Eukaryota; Metazoa; Chordata; Testudines; Emydidae. The record is from RNAcentral.